RNAcentral lists this ribosomal RNA (633 nucleotides) under Wolbachia endosymbiont of Balloniscus sellowii. Its description in RNAcentral is "bacterial SSU rRNA". It matches the Rfam family "Bacterial small subunit ribosomal RNA", at positions 131 to 807 of the family's 1533-position model. The record is from RNAcentral. Lineage: Bacteria; Pseudomonadati; Pseudomonadota; Alphaproteobacteria; Rickettsiales; Anaplasmataceae.
UAGUAGUACGGAAUAAUUGUUGGAAACGGCAACUAAUACCGUAUAUGCCCUACGGGGGAAAAAUUUAUUGCUAUUAUAUUAGCCUAUAUUAGAUUAGCUAGUUGGUGGAGUAAUAGCCUACCAAGGCAAUGAUCUAUAGCUGAUCUGAGAGGAUGAUCAGCCACACUGGAACUGAGAUACGGUCCAGACUCCUACGGGAGGCAGCAGUGGGGAAUAUUGGACAAUGGGCGAAAGCCUGAUCCAGUCAUGCCGCAUGAGUGAAGAAGGCCUUUGGGUUGUAAAGCUCUUUUAGUGAGGAAGAUAAUGAUGGUACUCACAGAAGAAGUCCUGGCUAACUCCGUGCCAGCAGCCGCGGUAAUACGGAGAGGGCUAGCGUUAUUCGGAAUUAUUGGGCGUAAGGGCUGGUUAAUAAGUUAAAAGUGAAAUCCCGAGGCUUAACCUUGGAAUUGCUUUUAAAACUAUUAAUCUAGAGAUUGAAAGAGGAUAGAGGAAUUCCUGAUGUAGAGGUGAAAUUCGUAAAUAUUAGGAGGAACACCAGUGGCGAAGGCGUCUAUCUGGUUCAAAUCUGACGCUGAAGCGCGAAAGCGUGGGGAGCAAACAGGAUUAGAUANCCUGGUAGUCCACGCUGUAAAC